AUGGGAUGUGAGAGGGCAUUAAUUGAUGCGCAGCUAGCUAAUCAUCACCAAGAAUUGAUGAUUUUUGGGCCGAGGCCAAGAACAUCGUUUGAUGAUUUUUGGGCCUGGGGUUUUGAGAGGUCGGGCAGGUUCACAGUACGAUCAGCGUACCGUAUGCUUAUGGAUAGACAAGGUACUGCUCCAGACCAUGCUAGUAGUUCCUCACUCGGAGAACCCACCUGGAAAGCUCUUUGGAAAUUGCAAGUUCAACCAAAGAUCAGGGAGUUCUGGUGGCGAGUGUUGAAGGGUUUUCUCCGGUCUUAUGGCGAGUUACACAGAAGGCACAUUAGUGAUCACUCUAUCUGCCCUAUGUGCGGUCAUGAAGAUGAGUCUCUGUACCAUGCUCUAAUUAAGUGUGAGCAUGCUUUACUGUUCUGGAGGGAGGCAGAAGGAUUUCUUUAUUUCAAAUUGCCACAUCUACAUCCGACAACGUGGUCAAGAGAUCUAUUGGAUACCAACUUCAUAAGUAAAGACCAAGCAGCAAUUGCAAUUUCAGUCAUGUGGACCAUUUGGAGUAGCAGGAAUAAAUACACACAUGAGGAAGUAAAGUUCCAACCUUCACGGUCUAUGGAAUUGGUCCAUGAACUGAUUCAGGCAAUGCAUUUGCCAUACAUGCCGAGAUCGGGCGACUUCCUGGUAAGGGCAAAAUGGCGUCCACCGGCAGCAGGGGUCAUUAAGACAAAUACGGAUGCUGCAGCUGAUGUUAGCGAGAGGAGAUCCGCUACGGGAGUUGUUGCUCGUGAUCAUCAGGGAAGAUUUAUAAGUGGCCGAUGCUCAAAGCUCCCGGGGGUUACUGAUCCGUAUGUUGCAGAACUGCUGGCUGUGUGUGAGGCAGUGAAGCUAGCAAGAGAGAAUGACUGGCCAAACAUACUGAUUGAAACUGAUUGCCAGGUCAUUAGGGACGAAUGGAACAAGGGAGACUACGGGUCUGUUGGAGGCCUUGUAUUGAGAGAGAUCAACUUUUUCCUCUCAAAUUUCCAGGGAUAUGACAUUAUUUACACUAGAAGGGAUGCCAACGUUGUUGCGCAUCGUUGUGCGAAGGAGGGUAUAUCUAGUAGCUUAAGUGUAAUCUCUUUUGAUGUAAUCCCUGAAUUCUUGGUUGCCCUUGUGCAAUCUGAUGUAAACCGCCUUGAUGAUGAAUAA
This 1182-nucleotide ribosomal RNA is filed under the name Triticum aestivum (bread wheat). RNAcentral's name for it is "partial small subunit ribosomal RNA". Lineage: Eukaryota; Viridiplantae; Streptophyta; Magnoliopsida; Poales; Poaceae. The record is from RNAcentral.